This 73-nucleotide transfer RNA is filed under the name Brevinematales bacterium. RNAcentral's name for it is "tRNA-Thr". It matches the Rfam family "tRNA". From Rfam's summary of the family: Transfer RNA (tRNA) molecules are approximately 80 nucleotides in length. The record is from RNAcentral. Lineage: Bacteria; Pseudomonadati; Spirochaetota; Spirochaetia; Brevinematales. RNAcentral also lists the same sequence under 1 other name.
GCCACCGUAGCUCAGUCGGUAGAGCAACUGAUUCGUAAUCAGUGGGUCAGCGGUUCAAUCCCGCUCGGUGGCU